Molecule: ribosomal RNA, 762 nt
Filed under: fungal sp.
Lineage: Eukaryota; Fungi
Description: eukaryotic LSU rRNA
Rfam family: Eukaryotic large subunit ribosomal RNA (bases 502-762)
Source: RNAcentral
UUACCGAGUGAGGGCCCUCUGGGUCCAACCUCCCACCCGUGUUUAUUUUACCUUGUUGCUUCGGCGGGCCCGCCUUAACUGGCCGCCGGGGGGCUUACGCCCCCGGGCCCGCGCCCGCCGAAGACACCCUCGAACUCUGUCUGAAGAUUGUAGUCUGAGUGAAAAUAUAAAUUAUUUAAAACUUUCAACAACGGAUCUCUUGGUUCCGGCAUCGAUGAAGAACGCAGCGAAAUGCGAUACGUAAUGUGAAUUGCAAAUUCAGUGAAUCAUCGAGUCUUUGAACGCACAUUGCGCCCCCUGGUAUUCCGGGGGGCAUGCCUGUCCGAGCGUCAUUGCUGCCCUCAAGCACGGCUUGUGUGUUGGGCCCCGUCCUCCGAUCCCGGGGGACGGGCCCGAAAGGCAGCGGCGGCACCGCGUCCGGUCCUCGAGCGUAUGGGGCUUUGUCACCCGCUCUGUAGGCCCGGCCGGCGCUUGCCGAUCAACCCAAAUUUUUAUCCAGGUUGACCUCGGAUCAGGUAGGGAUACCCGCUGAACUUAAGCAUAUCAAUAAGCGGAGGAAAAGAAACCAACAGGGAUUGCCCCAGUAACGGCGAGUGAAGCGGCAAGAGCUCAAAUUUGAAAGCUGGCUCCUUCGGGGUCCGCAUUGUAAUUUGUAGAGGAUGCUUCGGGAGCGGUCCCCAUCUAAGUGCCCUGGAACGGGACGUCAUAGAGGGUGAGAAUCCCGUAUGGGAUGGGGUGUCCGCGCCCGUGUGAAGCUCCUUC